GAGGUCGUGACGGUGUUACGAAUCCACUGUUGUGCCCGUGUACCGUUUAUUUCCCGUGAAUUUAAUAAGUUUGGCAGUAAAUCUCAAGUCAAAGGGUUAUUUUGGACUUCGCGAAGAUGCAGUAUGUCAUUGUUUAACCAGACUUCUUUGCCACCCAGAUGACGCGCGAAGCAGUGAUGGGACUGUGGCUGGGAUGUCAGUUGCGUGGUAGCUGCUUGAGGGAGAGGUCGGUCUCCAUCUCUCUCCCUCUCUCUCUAUCAAGACUUGCGCGCUCGUCUGACUUCGGCUCCUAAGGAGAAACUUUUAUAAUUGUAAGACUAGUGCAGGAAUAUAUCUGGAAUCGUCUCGAUUUCUCAUGUGCUUCGUUAGAGAAGAAUUAAAUUAUGGCCACGAUAUUCAGAUGAGAAUUUGGAGGAAAAUGAAGGGAGUUGAAGACUUCUUAUGCAGAAGGUAACCGUCAGAGGAAGCUGUUGGUAUAAACAUCGUUAAUAAUGUCAGGAAAAUCAUCAACAGUUCGGCUAGCACUUUGGAUUCCAUAGGUGGAUGUUUGUUAAUGUCAGGAAAUUCAUCAACAAUUCUGCAAGCACUUUGGAUUCCAGAGGUGGAUGUUGCAAAGCACAAACAUUAAAGGUUAUGACGAUAAUAUUCAUCGAGACUGAGCUUUUGCAGGGGAGUGGUUUUCUGCUUUCUCCAUUGGAGACAUUGGAAGUGGAGAUUGUUUCUUGAGUGAAAUCUGGUGAUAGAACAGAAGAGGAAGCAUUAAUCGACACUUGAACAUUCAGAAAAAUAGCGAAAUACGAACAAGGUUUAUUGAUGCAAAGUUAGACGUGACUGAUAUACUCCCGGAACGUCGAAAAUUUUUUUAAUUUACGUCCUGUCUAGAAGACGGGAUUAAACGCUCUUAACAGAAGUAAUGAAUACAACUUGACUGCGAUUCCUUAUCGGACUUCACAGGAAGAGAAUCUACGGACUGACAGUCUUCAGAACACACCAUUAGAGGUUGGCAGCGGGAGGUAAUUACCCAGUUUACUCCAAUCUACGGCUAAUGAACAGUGCAAAUGAAAUGCAUGAAGGAAGGAAGAUGAUCACGAAGACUUUCUAGACGAUUUUAUAGAAUUUGUGGCCGCAUCCGGAUUAUUUCUCUGCCGUGCAUGAUUUCUCAUGACGAACAUACCUGGAAAAGUCAACGUAACAGAGACAGUUUAUCCAAAUUUCUAUCUCUAGAAAAUGGAAAAUAAAGCGCAUUAGUGAACACACUCAUUGAAGUUAAUACAGCGAUUUAUGACGUGAAAGCUUCUAGAGGUUAUUACCGUUUUGUGGUUCCUAGCUGGAGAAAUUUACAAGCGACACCGCAGGCGGACAGACAGAUUCACAGACAAUCCGGGUGGCGCCACAGCACUGAAAUGGCGAUUAACGUCGUGUUCCCAAUUCUUAUUCCGCUGGAAGAGAAUCUGC
Macrobrachium nipponense is the source of this 1455-nucleotide long non-coding RNA. RefSeq lists it as uncharacterized. The record is from RefSeq and is a predicted model, not a curated record. The transcript has 4 exons. Lineage: Eukaryota; Metazoa; Arthropoda; Malacostraca; Decapoda; Palaemonidae.